GUGGACAGUCAUAAAUGGCUUUAGCAGACAGAUGAUAAUGGCAGAGAUAGAGCUCCGACUUCAUCUUUUUAUCGUCUGCUCCCUGACAGCCUCCUCCAAAACCAUCGAGUAUCCCUCCUCACCACCACCUACGCACUGAUCUGACCUCAACCUCUGGGUGACCAGUUUUUUUCAGAUGGACAUUUGUCACGUGUUACGUCAUUUCGUUAUGCGUCAUGUCAGUAUGCCAGGAAUGGCAGCAGGGAACUUGUUUGUUUACAGACAAAAUGUCGUUAUGCAGUCAAAAAGUACAGUCAUUUGCGGUUACGAGCAUUAUGCAUUUUCUGGUUACGAGAAAUCUCCGAAAACAGUACUCUUCCCAGGAGAGCAGUUCUGCUAUGAAAAGGUCUUUCUUCCCAACAGCGAAGUAGUCUACAAGACUUCCCAGCUUUGCAGAUUUCUUUGCUCCUGAUAAAGAGGGACUUGUACCUGUUUACCUUCAAAAUCUAUUGAGUUCUUGACUAAAUCUACGCCAGACACAAGUUUGUUGCUUUGUUAUUUUUAUGUUUCAUUUUGCCGUGUUUCUCUUUUGUUUUGUUUUAAACUUGAUAUUUCCGAGGAACUAAAGUUGCUCAUGUUCAUGUGUAUUAAAUAUGAAAUUAAAGUGCUAAAUAAAAUUACCAGUUCUUUUU
This is a long non-coding RNA of Stegodyphus dumicola, 671 nucleotides long. RefSeq lists it as uncharacterized. The record is from RefSeq and is a predicted model, not a curated record. NCBI's taxonomy places the organism in Eukaryota, Metazoa, Arthropoda, Arachnida, Araneae, Eresidae.